AACGGCGAGUGAAGCGGGAAGAGCUCAAAUUUGAAAUCUUCAAGGUUCUACCUUGACGAAUUGUAGUUUAAAGAAGUGUUUUCUGUUAGAUGAGUAGCAAAAGUUCCUUGGAAUGGGACAUCAUAGAGGGUGAGAAUCCCGUAUUUGGUUAUUCAUUCUAGCUUUGUGAUACACUUUCAAAGAGUCGGAUUGUUUGGGAAUGCAGUCCAAAAUGGGUGGUAAAUUUCAUCUAAAGCUAAAUAUUGGCGAGAGACCGAUAGCGAACAAGUACCGUGAGGGAAAGAUGAAAAGAACUUUGAAAAGAGAGUUAAACAGUACGUGAAAUUGUCAAAAGGGAAGCGUUUGACACCAGUGUUGUUUUUCCGAAAAUCAAUUACGAAUGGCUUGAUUUUGUGUUGUAUUGACCUUAUCAGCUUUCUUCACUUUUUUCGAGUCUUUCUUAAUGCACUUUUCGGUUAACAAGUCAACAUCAAUUUCUUUUGUUGUAAAAGAGUAUUCGGAAGGUGGCUUUCUUUUCGGAGAAAGUGUUUAUAGCCCUAUACUUCUACAAUCGGAGAGAUUGAGGUCUGCAGCGUAGAUCCUUCGGGGUUAGAUACACUUGUGCUAAGUUGUAGCUUUUCAUAGACAACUUGUUGACUAUGUUUAGUCAUGCGGCUUACUCGCUUGUGCUAUUUUACCUAC
This 681-nucleotide ribosomal RNA is filed under the name Neocallimastigales sp. Its description in RNAcentral is "partial large subunit ribosomal RNA". It matches the Rfam family "Eukaryotic large subunit ribosomal RNA", at positions 85 to 618 of the family's 3401-position model. The record is from RNAcentral. Lineage: Eukaryota; Fungi; Neocallimastigomycota; Neocallimastigomycetes; Neocallimastigales.